GGGGAGCGACGAUGAUGAUGAUGGUGAUGAUGACGAUGAUGAUGGUGAAGAUGGCGAGGAUGACGAUGAUGAUGACGAGGACGACGAUGAGGAGGAUGAGGAAGAUGAGGACCAGCCGCCGGCCAAGAAGAAGAAAUGAUCUGCCUUCCUGCUGUCUGUGUUUCAGUCCCUUAGUUUAUCUGCUGUCUAGAUGAUGAUUGAGCGGGUCUGGUACACACCGACCUAUGUAGCUUCUGUGUCGUGGUGGUUUGAUGUCUCAUAGGGUAGAACAUUGAACUUCUAAUGUUGUUUCCUGCGUUGUGCAAGUAGUCUUAACAUUUCGGUGUUGAUGUGCUGUGUUUAUUGGAGCUGUGGUACCAUUCAAUCUAAUUCUUGUUACUCCAUGUUGUCACAUGUGCUUUGAAUGGCUUUUGGGUUCAACUUCUUUAUGCUUCUGGUGAGUGAAUAUUGCAGAGUUUGUAUCACUGCUAUCUGAAUGUUUGGAUUUGAACAACUUGUAAGGAAAAGGCAUGUCAAUCUAAUAGAAGAACCGAAGAAGCAUUUGAGACUUCUUUCAACCUUUUUUGUCUAAAAACCUAUCUUUGCAUGGAUGUUGAAUGGGACAACACAGCUCCCAGCAAUGGAAAACAGUGACAGGCACUUCCAUUCCAAAAUUGUGCCACAACAUACUAAACAUACAUGCACCGCAGAAAAGGCCUAUACAAUAUACAGAGAUCUCUACAGUAUCUGGACGCCCAUGGGACAUGUACAUACACUGUCUACUUGUUCCUACCAGUCUAUCCAGUGCCCAGGAGCUCCAUAAAUUUGCUGGGCAGGGUGAGCUAAACUCCCAACGGAUUUUCCUUCUGAAUGGUCCUUCGACUACUGAUUACUCUCUGUUAAUGACUCAGACGCCAACUUGUUGAAAUCCUGGGGCUCGCUGCUGGCGAAUGUCAACCAGACGGCAGUGCCCGUUAAGUAGAAGAAGAUCGAAGGAGCAAAGAGCGACAUCUGCACAUGUACAAAAGACGGUAAUGAGUUGUUAGAAUGAUACGUGAUAGAAAAUACAGGUCAAGGAGAUGGAUCAGAUUUGUGGUGUUGGCAAGCAUACACUCCAAGAAUGAGUUGUGUCGACAAGAUAGCCGACUAGCGCGACACCAACGAUUCCAGGCACGGCCCCUACGGUGUUUGUGAUUCCCUGGAAUGGAAAGGCAAUGAGUCAACAACCACCCAUAGAAGAAAUUGCCUUUUCUCUUGCCAACUCUGCUUCCCCUUUCCACCAGUGCCUUCAGUAACAACCAUUGUUUGAUGAAUUAUACAGACUCGUUAGCGGUAGGCACUAAAAGUCUGAAACUACCAAAACUAGAAACACUAGGAUGUGGGGUAUUCCUCUGGAAAUGCAUUUACUAUCAAGUAAAAUCUCAAGGGUUUUAAUUACGAAUCCCUGUCCAGGGUCCGAUAUAGUAACAAACAAAAUUACAACCAAAUAUCUGGUCCAAACAAAGGGAAUUUUGUUUUCUUUUUACCAUUCCAUUUUUUACAGGACAAACACAGAUUUUUUUUUCCAGAAAACGGUUAUAAGUUGCAUGCCUUACCAGGAGAAUGCUUGCAUAUUCACGAGAUAUAUCUUGAUGGGUGCAAUAAAGACCUGUUUGUAAACCGAAACAUUAAGAUUUUGGAUGUUGGAAACAUGGAAGGAAAAGGAAUUGCUGCAAGCUUAGCACAAUUACCUGAUAAUGCGAAGUUGGAGAGUGAUAUACCACCUGUAAGGAAAGCAACAACGACCCAGGGAGGCAGUCCAAGAUCGACAGAGGAAAGCAUCAUAAAAGCUGCAGGUGACAAGAACGCAAUUGCUUGACAUAUUUUCCGUACCUACAAAAGAAAUUAAUCAACUUAGACUCAACUUUUUCGUUGUCCUGUAAAAAGGCCUUACUUACACAAGAAAACUAGACAUCUCGUGGCAAUUUGCAGUGGUGAUUUUUAAAUAUUCCAAACUUUACAAAUAAACUCUAGGAGCAUCCAUAUAGGAACCUAAUAAAGGGGGUCAACUAAAAUCAGAGCAAGCAGAUUUUUUAUUAUUCCUUUUUCAUCUUCAAGGCAAUUAUUUACCUUUGUGGUGUCAACUCCACUUGAUAUCAAGUUGUCUGCAAAAGGUGCUGCAAUAGAUGUAAUAACCAUUGAACCCAAAGGAGGAAGAAUUGACACCUACAACAAAUACCAAAUAUGGGACUUCAUAAGACAUGAGACUGGAGCAGUAGUUGUAAAUGAAAAACAAGGACACACCAUGAUCACAUAGUAAGAACGAGGAGGGAUAUGAGGCUUUCAUUACAAGGGUGUUCCUGUAAUUAUAAGAAAUGAAAGCAUGUACAUACCCAUGCAGCGUCUGUCAAGUUCAAGUUUAGCUCCUCACUGCAUAAGAAUUGAACAGGAAUAUAUCACAAAAAAGCAAGGACAUUGUUACAAAUAUUUGACAUAAUGUACUGAACAGCAGAAAGAAGACUGGAUUCCCCCAAACAUUUUGCUGGACUUCUAAAGCAUUAUUAAAUUGACGUAUCACAACAAAUGCGACUAUGAUACGAAAGCAGCUAUGCAAUACAGCGCCACGUAAAUCUAUAAUGUCCAGUCUCAACUUGAGCACAAGUUUCAGAAAAUUUAUAUGUAAAAAUCUCCUGUUCCAUUUGGUUCUAUCUUUGUUGAAGUCAAUCCACUUUCAGAAAACUGAACUGAACGAGUAGGAAAAGUGUGCACGUGCAAGAAAGUUGUUCAUAUAGGGUGUUAACACACUGAAAAGUUAGUGAACGAAAUCCUAGCAAUUCAAUCUCAAUAGUAGCACCAAAAUGUUGAAUAGUAAAAGAAAUAGGUGUGUCCAACUCACUAGGGACAGUUCAUGAAAAUAAGACAGUUAGUUAAUCGAAAGGGGAUACAUUGAGUGAAAAAUGACAAGACAAAAUGCAAAGUGCCAAACCUAAAGAAUGUUGGAAGCCAAGACAAGCAAGUAUAGUGGCCCCAGCUUCCACAAAAGUGAGUGUAUAUCAUUGCCCACACUGCCUUGCUUUUAAAGAAUUCCCCCCAAGGCACAUCCUACAACACAAAGGAUAAAACUUGCUAUAUCAGUAAUGUUUGUGAAUCAAGCACCUACACUAUUUAAUACAUAAUAAUGCAUCACUCCCAUCAACAGGGUCACCUUAUUUUAUUGGGAGUUAUAAAUUACAUCUACAGCCAAGUGAAAUAGGUCACAGCACUCGUGCUGAACUGUCGCUAGAUGGGGGAAAGCCCAACAUGUACUGUAUACAACAUCCAAAUAGGGAAAGGCUCAGUGGUAUGCCUUUAAUGUCAUGCAAGUUAACAAAAGCAUAGUUAUGUGCUAUAGUUAGACCAAGAUGGCCAUGUGAUACAGGUGAAAAAUUCCUUAUCUGGAAGGCACAGUUUUCGUUGGUUCAUUGGCUUAUCGUUCGUUAUUACAAAAUGAUGUCUUCCAAGUACAGUGCGCAUCUUUCUGCAACCCCGGCUGAAGUCUAUGGCAGCAUUUAUAUUUUGCAGUCUCACCACACAGUAGCAACAGACUAGCAGAACAGUCUAUUGGCUAUUCUGGGUAUAUAGUAAACAAAACUAAGAAUGGCAUGUAAACAAAGAGAUUAAAAUAAAUUUUCAUUCGAGCAAAUUAAAUUGCAGAAGCUAGCACAAAAUCCACACCAACGAUAGUUUCGAUUAUAUUGCACAUACUAACUACUUGAGAGGAUUCUCGAGUCUUCACACUUUUACAACGGCAAACAGUUCACACAAAUUCACAAUUUGAAACACUCUAGCAACCAACAUAUUUCUUGCCAAUGAACUGAAAAGUUUCUCAGAUCAUUUGAUGUAGUUGAUAUAACUUGAUACUGGAACUUUUUCAUCGAUCUCACAACUUUGUAACACUUUUAACUUGAUUCAUGUCUUCUAUGUUCUAACAAAGAGGUUAAGUGACAUGCCAAUAGCUACUUUUCAACUGGUGGAAAAAACUAUAGUGAAUAUGUCAGCUCUCAAACCUUUAGUGAGUCUGUCAUCUCUUCAAGUGAUGAGUCCGAUGACUUUGAAGGCACAGAUGAUGAGACAUGACCAUUAGAUCCAGCAGAAGUAUUUUCAAGAUCUGUAAAGUAGAUGGUAUUUUCAGGUAUUGUAGUUGAAAUUUUGUACUUAUUGCGCAGAAAUGGUAAGAUCAUAAUGAACAAAUAUUUUUAGCAAACAAGCUAAGCUCAAAGAAUACUUAAUACUGAACAUAUUGAAUGCUAUUUUGUAAUAGUACCGAUAAAUCUAGUGCAAACCACACUCAAAACAUAAUCAUGUAAACAUAUUGGUUAGUACAUCAAAUCAAUUUGGAACUACCAAAUUUGAGGUAGUCCUCAAUGUAUCUGCUGUACAAUUGAAAUUUCUCAUAUUUAAAACUGAUUAGUGUUAGAUUGAAAGGAUGAUUUUCUGACAUAAAUCUGUGUCAGCAUCACAUUGAUCCCUUUUCUCUCUUCCAAGUUUAACAGCUGUUACUUAAUAGACUACAUGAUUUUCUGACAUAAAUCUGUGUCAACAUCACAUUGAUCUUUUGGGGGGAAUUUUUCAAGUUACCUUUAUGCUCAAACAGUCAGAAGUGCACAUAUAGGAUUUGCCACGAUACGUAAACUUGGGUCAGGCAUGGCACUUAUGUUAGAUCAAACUUGACAUAGAGGUUACGAAGACCAGAUUGUACAAUCAUGAUCACAAGAUCAAACCAAACUGACAACCUGGCUAUACAAGGUUGCCGAAUAUUCUACAGUUCAUAUACGAUUACACAAACCAAGAUGGUUUGGGUAAUUGCAUCAAGCUAUGAUUUUUCACUAGAUAUGUCAUAUCUGCUUAUGAAAAAACACACAAUGAUAUCAUUAAGGCCACAAUAUGAUUCCUUCAGCUAAACUAGCAUGCCACAAUUCAUUUUCUUCUAUAACACAUACAAACGGAGUAUAUUAAAAAAGAGAUAUGAUUAAAAGUAACAUUCAUUGCAAGUCUCAAUGGACAGUUUCUAUCAUGGUUGUUAAGACUUGUAAAAUAGAUGUGCACUUACUUAAUAUAUCUUCAUUGUCACCUGGCUGUAGUUCUUGUACAGAUUCAAACACUAGACACCUGUGGAAAUAAAAGAAGAUGAAGCUAACCAGAAGAAAUAUUCAAUUAUGUGCUGCUAAGAAGUUUUUUGCUUACCAUAUAAUUCCAAGAAGACCAAAUAUGUAAAAGACAGAUUCCCAGCCAAGGUUCUGAAUGAUGGGAGGGGCGAACAGAAGUCUGUAAUAUUAUCAUAGACCAGGAGUUAACUAUCUCGUACCAUUGUCAAUUAAGUUGUGUAAUCAUAAUGUCAUACAGUCAAAAUGCAAUGCAAUGUUGUUUUAGAACCAAGCAAAAAGUUACAUCAGGUUACAAAGGUCUGAUAAUCUAUCAGGAUUUCUGUAAAGAUGAAAGUUUCUGCUUAGACCCAAAACUUUUACGUGCAUCUGAAUAUAUCUUGAAAAUACUGCAAAACACUUACCCUAAGACACUUCCAAAGGCUAAACCACCAAAAACAACAGAAACCGCUCUUGAUCUUUCUUUAAGAGGAAUGGUCCUGAAUGUGCAGCCAUAGCAGUUAAAUAUGCAAUAAUAAUGUAUGAGAAUGAUGCUUCUCAAGUUUAAUAUGUUUAUUCUAUGUUCUUCCAGAGAGCAGCAAUAAUUCUACUACCUUCUAUCAUGUUCAAUAGAAUUAAGAUCUCAGCAGGGAGAUAAGGUAGCUUUCUAUUGGAUUUCCUUUAAGCAUAACAAGUACUUCCUCCGUUCCUAAAUAUUUGUCUUUUUAGAGAUUUCAAAUGGACUACCACAUACGGAUGUAUAUAGACAUAUUUUUCACUCAUUUUGCUCCGUAUGUAGUCACUUGUUUAAAUCUCUAGAAAGACAAAUACUCCGUCCGAAAAUACUUGUCAUCAAAAUGGAUAAAAGGGGAUGUAUCUAGACAUAUUUUAGUUCUACAUACAUCUCUUUUUAUCCAUUUUGAUGACAAGUAUUUUCGGACGAAAGGUAUUUAGGAACAGAGGGAGUAAUAAUACAUAGUUCUUUUUUCUUUCAUAAACGUGUCAACAGAAAAGCUACAUCAUAUCCACACCAAUAACCAUUGAGAAAGUUAUGCAAUAUAAUCGUCAUAAAAAAUCCAGAAUAAGACGUACAUCAAUCUUUUAUGUAUUUCAAUAAAAGAACGUGAAUAGCUACCACCUGCGAUUAAGCACAGGUAGCUAAAAAAGAAUCCAUCUAAACAUUAAAUAUCCACAAAAACAAUGCCAAUACACUAGUUAGCUAGCGAAGAGUGUAUAGUCACAAGAUUCACCAUCAUCGAUACAGGGUAUUUCUAAUAAAUAUCUCUACAACUACAUGAGAACCGUGAAAAUUCCUGCUUAAAAUUUUAGGAAGCAGCCUGAAAUUCACAUGAAGGAGAUGUAAAUGGUAGCCUGUGUCCAAGGAGAAGGUAUUUUAGGCUUACCGUGCAAUUAAAUCUGUAGCUGCUGAUGGUGAGACUCCUUCUCCAAUGCCUACCUAGCAUAGCAACAAAGUUAAAAUGAAUAAAUACAAGGAUAAAUAUUUAAAUAGUAAAUUAUUACUAGGAACACUCCCACCGUACUGACAUGAAGAUGUGAUAAAAGAAACUAGGUAUUGUCAUCGCAUGGGAAUGCUCCAAAAACCAAAGUUGACAUGCAGGUACUGCAAUAAUGCAUGGGGUGCUUUAUAUGGUAAGGUGAAGGGACACUUAUUUGCACCAAAACACAUUUUUACAUAAAUAUGAUACACCUGCCACCUGGAAAUGUGCAUAUGAAAUAAUAUAGCAAUCAUCAUCUUAAAAAAAUGUUUUUAUAGGUAACCCAGUCUAUGCUAAUUUAUGCUCAGAAUACACAGAAACGUUAACCCAAAUAAUAACAGCCAUCACUCUCGGUUGAAAGUAUGCUUUGUAUGGGUAUGUGUUCCUAAUACAGAAAUAAAACCAAUGUACAAAACAUGGUAAAAAAAGCACAAAAGAAGUUAAGUGUACCGGAUCAUAUGUGAACAAGAAGUUUCUAGAGGCUAACUAAUGAGUAGAGGUAUACCAGAAUCCUUGAUAGCACAAGUCCUGGCAUGAAUCCUGCUACAACAGGAAUAACAGCUGUGGCCAAAGACCACACAAGAACACCGGCCUUAAGCACUGUCCUGCAAUUAGCAUAUGAGAAAAACAAUUAUUGCAAUAUGAAAAUAAAUAAAUGAAUAAUAUGCAUUAUAUGAGAAAUAUAAGAUGAGAAAAAAUUUAUGAUCAAAUUAUAAGAAAUCAAAUUAUAAGAGAUGGCCUUUGAGUUAUGCAAGAAGCGCCUGCUAAACAAGUUACAUGCUUGUUUCUUAAUUCAUUUAUUGUUGGUUUACGCCUAUGAAUUUUUGUUGCUAAGAAUUUAAGAGUCAAGCUAGACUGAUAACAUAAAAAUAUGCAACCGGAAAAGAGGCAAAAUAACAUUAUAAAGCCAGGUAGAACUCACAAACCAUAUUAUACUCCCUCCUAUCCAUAAUAAGUGUCGCAGGUUUGAAUUAAGAUUGAACUAACCUUAGUUCAAAACUGCGACACUUAUUUUGGAUUGGAGGGAGUAGCAUUUAGCACGUCAUACUUCUCUUUUGCAUUUUUCCUUACCUACUACACUUAGUCUAAAGAUUCUUCCGAUGGUACGGACAGAUGGUUUUAGUUAGAUAGCAUAGGUGAAGAAGAAACAACUGUCAUCAUGACAUUUAACUUUUAUUUGGGACAAUGCCAUAUUAGAGUCACCAGCAGUCAAUAACUAUACUUAUGAUGCAAAAAAUCUUUGUGUAUGCAAAAUCAAAGAUAACUUUGUAUUUGUAUUUAUAAAAUGUACAGGAGGCUUUUUGUUACCCCAAACAAACCUUCCACCAAUCAAUUUUGCCAGCCAGCCCCCAGGUAGUUGACUCAAAGCAUAGCCCCAGAAGAAUGAUGAUUGAACUAGGCCAGCAGUCGAUGAGCUCCAACCAUACUGAUGUGACAUUGGAAUGAUCGCAACACUCAAGUUAACCUGAAAAGGUAGAGUAGUUGCGUUUAGCAGAAAUUCCUGAGGAAACAAAAACUGAACUGCCUAGAUAAGCCACACAUAGAAGUAAUUAGCUACGCUAAGUGAAGAAGUGCAUAUCAAGACCGCAUUAACAACCUUGAGCAAGUCAGAUGGUUUGCCAGCGAGACAAUUAAUGGUGCAGAAACACUUCGGUCGACAUCAACAACGACAAAAAAUACGUGCAAUAUGGAUGCAGACGAAUGCCAGAACGGAUAUCGCACAACCUGACAGAUAUCAUGUUUGGUAUGGAAUUAACCGUUAAGCAAAGUCGUAAGAGGAAAAUUCCAACCGGUAGGCUUGAGCUGAAGUUUCUCACAGCUACGCCCUCUCUGCGGCGUGCAUGCGGCUAGAGGAAAACCGAAAGAAGACGCCGCCCCAAGCAUCAAAACCUGUUGAGCGUGGCAGAUGCGCGGUGGUAAAUGGUAACCGCUUGCUUUGAUCAUGAGCAAACCGGUAUUAGUGUUCUCCCAAAUGUGGCGCGUGCAUUUCUGUCGACGCCUUGACGCAACAAUGGUGUUAAAUUCAGUCUAGUUGCGGACCUGCGCCCCAGUUUUAAGCCAUGCUUUGUUUUUCCCCCAUCUUGAGUUUCUCCGAUUUGCUCUCGCGGACCACCGCAAGGCGUGUCAGUAGCACCGUCCGUGCUAGCGGAUAGAGGCCAAUUAAGCAGUAAGAAAUGCCCCUAAACGAGAGAGAAAGAGAGCGGAGCGCGCGCAAGCACCUUGUCCAUGUUGCAGAUGACGAAGGCGAGGGAGGUGGCGCCGAUGAGCCUGUAGCGCUCCGGCAGCCCCUCCCAGGGCGGCCACCGAAGCUCCAGCGCCUCCUCCUCCUCAACCUCCUCCGCAAGCACAUCCCCUCCUCCCUUCCUCUCCGCCGCCACCUCCGGGACCACGGAGCGCUUCUCCACGGCGCCCGCGGGCCCGCCCCCGCUGUCUCUGGAGGAGAACCGCCUCACGGCCCCGCGGCGCCGGUGCGGGAGGACGAGCAGGCGCGGCGGGAGCAUGCGGCGGCGGGGCCCGGCGAGGGGGAGGAGGCAGCGCUCGGGCUGCAGCGCGGAGGAGGCCGCCAUCGCCAUGGCCGCUUCGCUCGGGCUCGGGAGCUAGGCGUGGCGCUGCAGUGGAGUUUGAAAUUUCUCGGUGGGGUUUCGGAGAGGAGGAGGGGAGGCGUACACGCGGCGAGGGGCGGAACGAGCGGCCAUGGGCAGCGGAGCAAGCGUGUCGCGUGCCACUGCCGCUGCUCCGCGGCGGGGAGGGGACGGCGACGAGCGUGUGGCUGGGGUCGCCCCUCGGCCACCGACCGGUGGGACCACGCCCCGAUACGGUCACGUGGAAACCGUUGCUACCUGGCUUUGCUAGUUGCCAGUACCUCCUUUGGCAGCCAGGAAAAAGAAAUGCACAAUUAUUAUUAUGGAUAGAUAGACUUUCUGGCACAAUUUUUUUGUUGGCACAUUGCAGGCAUCGAUCAAAACUCUUCUCUGUCUCUCUACAUUUCAUUCACUACUGCAGGUCAUGGACUCGAUAACAUACAUACAUUGCGGUUUCUCAAAACUGUCACCGGCUGGAGAGGGUGCCGCGCUGGGGGUUCAUGUUCAUGUACUGCUCUUGGCAGCCACGGGCUGCUCCGAGGCCGGCACGGAGGGCCUCCAGGCGGUGCCGUCGGGGCCGUCCAUGAGGGCGACGCCGAGGGCCGCCAGCUCGUCCCGGAUCUCGUCCGACCGACCGAACUGCUUCGCCUUCCUCGCCGCCGUCCGCUCCUCGAUCUUCUGCACCACCUGCUCCUCGGUGACGCCCGCCCUCCGCAGCGCCUUCUCCCGCAGCUGCUGCAGAGCCUGAGAAACAACAACAGCACAAGGUCGUCGUCCUCAGUGGAUCAUCAACACUAGUAGAAUGCACAGCAUGGAAACACAUUUGUCUUCUUCACCAGAACCAAGCAUCACAACAGUGGCUGGCCACCAAUCUGCUGUUUUCAGUUUACACAACGCGGCUCUCACCUCAUGGUAGCUCGAAGGCAUCAGCCCUAGGACAGAAAGCACCAUUCUCACUUUCUCUUCCAACGCCGCGAGUGAUUCCAGCCGUUUCUCCUGCUUCUUUCCCUGACCAAACACAACACCAGAGCAAAGAAAGUAGUCAAGGCGACUAGUACUUCUACCUGAGUAGAGUAGUGAAUCCAAAAUGUACCUCCACAAGUUUAUUAUCACUGGCUUUACCUUACGAGUAUGCAGCAAAUCAUUCAUAACUUUCAACGGCUCGGAAAUAGCAGCUAGCGCCACCGAAGUGUGAAGAUCAUCGGACAUCGAGGUUUCGAAAUCCUCGUGAAGCUUCUCGAUGCAGUGCGUGGUAGUAAAAGGUAGUGAACCUCCGCUACUGCUUUGGUCCUGCUGGGUGCUUUCUUCACAGUCGCGCAAUGUCUGUAUGUAGGAAAUGAUUCAGCAUAAGGACAUGAAUUACAAGUAAUGGCAUUUAAAGUAUCGCCUGAUGAAAUAACAAGAAUGGUGAAAUGUAACUUUUAGUGCCAACACAAGUCGAGAGUUCCGACUAGUCAGGCACAAGGAGCAAUUUUAUAGUCUCAGGCAUGGAUACAAAAGCUACCCGUUGCUGGCUGUAAACUGACUGACUUCAGCUAGAGACACAGAGCGACUACUACUGUACUCCCAUGGAUUCUAAAGCAACACUGUCGAGUGACACCAUGUGGAAGCACAAGACCAUGGAUGAAAUAGUAACUCUAAAUUUUGGGCUGAUCUGUCAGCACUUCUAAACAGGCAGGAUGAAAUCAGGGAGGUCAAAAUAUAUAAAUAUAUCAGUAUAGGAAAAAAAACAGUUCUUCAGAUUAAGCCAGCCUAGGCCACAAAAGGCUCAGAUUAAAAUUUCUGACCAGGAUAACAACAUCUAGUCCAGGUUGAGCAUUGAUUAUUAAGUUACUGAAAGUUGUACAGCAGAAUUAGCACUGAAACCAUGCUGCAAGUCCGCUUCAAGAACAUGAGACAAAAGGCAUAGUGUAUCUAACUAAUAGUGAAAUCGCUAAAUUUGCCUCUAGAUACGCAAGGUCGUUGGCAUAAGAAUAAUGGUGACCUUUUUGUGCAUGCCAUUGUAAGGUUUCACUGGCAUUAUUUUUGUAGGAAGGCCACAUUUGGAAUAUGUACACAUCCUUGUUAUAAGAAAAGUCAAAAUAUGAAGGCCUGAAAAUUUUGUAUAUACGCAAGUACAUUGUAGAUAUGCAAGUACGUUGGCAUAGGAAUAACAGUUCCCUUUUUGCACACGCCAUUUUAAAGCUUCACUGGCUUUACUUUUCUAGGAUGGUCACUUUUGGCGUAUGAACACAGUUAAAAGAAAAGCCAAAAAAUGAAGGCCUGACAGGUUCGUCGGCUCCUGCAUCCAAAGUGAUCCUCAUAUCCAACAGGCGCCUACAACUUACAAGUAAAUUCAUAUAAAUAGACUAAAUGUUGUUUAAACUGGUUGGUGUUAUUCAAACAUUCUUGUAGCCACUACCCCAACGGCCACAGAGAGCCACCACUUUGAUUUCGAAACAAUAUGACAUAGUAUAGACUAAUAGCAUAUACCUGAUAUGACAUGUUAUUAAGCAUGUAAGCAGUUCAUGUGAACAUAGUAGCAAAAAGAUAGCAAUAGCAUGAAGCCAUGAAUAUAUAAAGAUAGAAUAUACCUGAUAAGUGUAGUACAAUCUAUCUGAUGCAACAUUAAGCUGCUCAACUGUGUAGUUGAUUGGUGACCUGUAGUGGGUACCAAGCAAGAACAUCCUCAAUGCAAGCGGGUGGUACAGCUCUAUGACCUGAAAAAGUUGGCAAUCUUUGAGAAAGCAGGGUAUAGUUAUUCAGAAAACACAGUAUUCAUGUAAUGAAUUACCUUGCGUAUAGUGAUAAAGUUACCAAGCGAUUUAGACAUUUUCUGGCCAUUUACAUUGACAAAACCAUUGUGCACCCAGUAAUUUAUGCUGCUGUCACAACAUGCUGCACAGCUUUGAGCAAUUUCAUUCUCAUGAUGUGGAAAUAUCAGGUCCUCCCCGCCACCAUGAAUGUCAAAAGAAUUGCCCAAGUAUUGUGCACUCAUGGCACUGCAUUCAAUGUGCCAUCCUGGCCUACCCGGGCCCCAAGGGCUAUCCCACCAUGGCUCCCCAUCUUUUGCAGCCUACAGUUCACACAAAAUCAACUAACUUGGUGCUGAAGUAAAUAUCUAAAUCAACUCUUCACAGAGCAGACACGGAACAAUCUACAUACUUGAAAUGGGGAAAUGGGACGUCUAUUACCUUCCAUAGGGCAAAAUCAGCUGGGUUUUUCUUUCUCUCGUCAACUGCAACCCUUUCACCAGCUCUAUUAUCAUCUAGUUUUCGACCCGAUAACUUCCCAUAUUCAGGAAAAUUGUCAACAGAGAAAUAGACAUCCCCACUUACUACAUAUGCACAACCAUUAUCGAUGAUCUGUUCCAAGAAAAAUAGCAUAAAAAAAGGAAGUCAAACCAAAAGAAAAGAACUCUAUUAUGAUACUCUGAAAAUAUGAGAACUGUAAGUGUCUGUAAUUUAUUUUGGAUUUGUGUAAACAUAUUAUAUAGGUAAUAGAACUCAGAUUAACAGUAAGACAUACUCCCUCUGUCCCACAAUGUAAGACGUAGCUUGCAAAAACGUCUUAUAUUGUGGGACGGAGGGAGUACUAAACAUCAAUAACACAAAGUAUUGUUCUUCAUGUCCACAGCCGCAUAUACAGAAUUAUAUCACAUCCAACAUUGCCAUAUACAUUAUACAUGUGCAAAGAACUAGUGCAAUCUCAGGUUGUUAUUUUUUUCAUAAAUGAAGAGGAUGUGAGUAUACUGAAUGUAAUAGCAAAUUCCUAGGUUGCCAUGGUAACAACCUACUUUGGAAAUGGAUGUCCUUUGUACAAGAAUUCUAUUUUUAUUAGAUAACCUGCUUAAAAAUGAAGCUCAAAUGCAUUGACCAACCCCAUGAAAGCAGCACAUUAUAAUGAUAACAACCGAAUGCUCUGGAUGGAUAAGAGUACGUCCAAACAAGGGUAUUUCAACCAAAUAUAGGAGCAAAUCCACUUAGCAAGGCUAUUGCAGAAAGCAGUAUAAAAACAAAAGAUAAAUAACAACAACCAACUGCACACACACACACACACACACACACACACACAUACAGAUAUGUAAAAAGUAGUGCACACAAGACAGUACGACACCAAUGAGCCACGUUACAAGUACAACUUACCUGUUUUAUCAUGGUUACAAUCUGAUCAAUGUGAUCUGAAACACGGGGCUCCACAGAUGGUGGUAGACAUUGAAGAUGAGCCAUGUCCGACAGGAAAUCAUCAGAGUAUCUUUUGCUUAAGCUAAAAGGAUCUUCCCCCAAUUGGUUAGCUCUUGCAAUUAUCUACAGAAUUCCAGAAGUGCAACUCAGGUUUCCUGUGCAGAUGUAAUCGGUGUUUAAAUUUUCUUUCUAGUUUUCCAGGUAAACUAGCUUAAUACAAUUAGCAGCGAACUGAAUGCAGUGGAUAUGAACUGAGCAAACUAAAUUCAGGGAUAAGUCUGAAGUGAACUGUUCACAUUACAUGAGCAUCAAAAGAAGACCUCUGCCUUCUCUAUUUCAGUUCAGGUCAUAAUCAUUUUUCUGGACGGUAAUGCUAUAAUUUGACAACUUUUAAAUGGAGAUGAUGCAAGAGAAGCUAUAAAUACAAUAGUAGCAUUUUUUGUUAAAUUAGUUUAAAAACUAAGAACCAAACAUCACUUGUAGUUAUAUGCAAACAAAUUCAACCUGAAAAUCACCUUGUCAUCGAUGUCAGUAAAGUUCCGAACAUAGCGUACUUCAUAGUCCAAAUAACGCAAGUACCUAAGAUGGCCAUAAUUACAUGUCAGGAGACCAAAGAUAAUCAGAUGCAGUGCUUCCCAUUCCCUACCUGGGAAAAAAAAAUUACUUGACGAAAACAAGAGAGGACCAAAUGUUCACUGGUGACAUUACAUGCAUAGUGUUUUAGAAUGCCAGACUAUCAGCGGGUGCAUAAGCCCAUAGAAAAUUUUUACUAGCAUAUUCAAGCUUAGUCGAAUAACUGGACCAUUAUAGCACAGUUUGCUAUGGUGUUAAUGUUAGAACUUCCUAAACUGAGCUGGGCAUAUCACAAAAAUGGGUACUAUUAAGUGUUGACUAUCAAAUGGACAAAUUGCUUCUGGCCUCUCCAUCUAGAGAUAUACAGAGAUAAAAUGGCCUAUUAAAUUCAAUUAUUAGGUAUUAGCAUUGCUUUUACAGUUGCAAAAUCGUUUCUGAUUUUCACCAUUUGACCCACACGAACACACUGGCACAAACACAGGACACAGCCAAGUGGACCAAAACUGCCAUGAAAUCAGCAGCGCCGAGCUUGAAUGACUAGUGGACGGACGAACCUGAAGAGGACAUCGAAGGCGACGUAGGCGCGGGCGUGGCCGAUGUGGCUGUCGUCGUAGGGCGUGACGCCGCAGACGUACAUGCCGACCUCCCCGCCGGGCGCGCGCGGACGGAACGGCUCCCUCCUCCUCGACCUCGUGUUGUACAGGUGCAUGUCCCGGGCCUUCUCCGGGGCCGCGCCAUUGGAGGAGGCGGCGGCGGAGCAGAAGAAGAGCUUGGCGGGGUGGGAAAGGAGGCGGCGGGGGCGAACGAGAGCGGGCAGGGCUAGGGACUCUCCGUGGCGCGGGAAGGCUCGGGACUGUGAGGAGAGGAGCAGCGGGAAGAGGCCGGUGGCGGCGCGCCUCGCCGCCGCCGCCGCCGCCGCCGCCAUCAUGGGUGGGUCGUGAAGGCCGCACGCGCGAGAGGUAGGAUAGCGUUUUUCUGAAUUUUUUGUUUUGCUCCCUAAGAUUUCUGGAUUAGUGCAACAUCUCUCCGCACACGAUCAGUUUGGGUUUGGUCCAAAACCGCCUAGGGCCCGCUCGCCGCUGCAUCCAUGCCACAUUUAAGGUUAGGCAAGUUUGACCAAUUUAGGUGUGUGUUUUGUUCAAGCCACAUCUUAGGCAAGCCACACUCGCAUACACACUAUGGUCCACACUAUGGAUCUAGAACAUAUAUAUAAUGAUGAUAAUAUAAACGGUUCAGAUCUGAAAUCAUGGCACCUGGGCGCAAAAUGACAAGCAUUAAGCAUGACAAAGUCAUAACAACAACAAUCUCAGAACAUAAUGGAUACUAGGGAUCAAGCCCUAACAAAACUAACUCAAUUACAUGAUGAAUCUCAUCCAACUCCUCACCGACCAGCGAGCCUACGAAGGAAGUACUCACUCCCGGUGGGGAGCAUCAUGGAAUUGACGAUAGAGAAGGGUUGGUGAUGACGAAGGUCGAAGAUCCCCCUCUCCGGAGCCCCAAACAGACUCUAGAUCUGGCCUCCCGAUGAAGAACAUGAGAUGGCAGGGGCUCCAUCUCGUGAAACGCGAUAAUUUUUUCUCCCUGUUUUUUUCUAAAAAAUAUGAUUUUAUAGCGUCGGUUUCAGGGUCUGCGGGGCCACCGGGUGGGGACAACCCACCUGGGCAUGCCUGGAAGGGGGGCGCCCUGAUGGGUUGUGCCCAUCCAGAUGCCCCCUCCGGUGGUUCUUCGCUCCAGAAAUUAUCUUUAUUCAUAUAAAAAUUCCUCGUAAAGUUUCGUUCCAAUCUAAGAACUUUUAUUUCUGCACAAAACAACAAUGGUAGCUCUGCUGAAAACAGCGUCAGUCCGGAUUAGUUUCAUUUAAAUCAUGCAAAUUAGAGUUCAAAAUAAGAGAAAAAAGCGUUAGGGAAAGUAGAUACGACGGAGACGUAUCACACAUGACUCAUCAUUUUUGCCCCACAUAGCUUUAAUUGAAAAUUUGUGUGUGUUUCCAAGGCUAUAUUGAUCUAUUUCUUUGUAAUAUUGGUAAUUACUUAGAACAUAAAAAAAA
This 15939-nucleotide long non-coding RNA is filed under the name Triticum aestivum (bread wheat). RNAcentral describes it as "long non-coding RNA (TAES_LNC007787)". The stretch from base 5903 to 6031 matches the Rfam family "MIR1120/MIR1122 microRNA precursor family". Lineage: Eukaryota; Viridiplantae; Streptophyta; Magnoliopsida; Poales; Poaceae. The record is from RNAcentral.